RNAcentral lists this unclassified non-coding RNA (279 nucleotides) under rhizosphere metagenome. RNAcentral describes it as "partial ribosomal RNA internal transcribed spacer region". The record is from RNAcentral.
GUAGGUGAACCUGCGGAAGGAUCAUUAAUGAAAUCGACGUUCGGGAAAGGUUGUUGCUGGCCCCAUGGCAUGUGCACGUCUUUACCGGAUGUAUUCGUCCUUUCUUUACACCUGUGCACGAUCUGUAGCUAGGGAUGAUCACGGAGCCUGUCGGUUCCGAAUGCCCUGGCUAUGAACGUUUUUAUACCCUCUUAUAAAGUUUUUUUUUUUUUGAAUGUUUGUCCUGCGUGUAACAGCGCGAAUGAAAUACAACUUUCAGCAACGGAUCUCUUGGCUCUC